RNAcentral lists this ribosomal RNA (497 nucleotides) under uncultured bacterium. RNAcentral describes it as "partial 16S ribosomal RNA". It matches the Rfam family "Bacterial small subunit ribosomal RNA", at positions 28 to 507 of the family's 1533-position model. The record is from RNAcentral.
GACGAACGCUGGCGGCGUGCCUAAUACAUGCAAGUUGAGCGCUGAAGGUUGGUACUUGUACCAACUGGAUGAGCAGCGAACGGGUGAGUAACGCGUGGGGAAUCUGCCUUUGAGCGGGGGACAACAUUUGGAAACGAAUGCUAAUACCGCAUAAAAACUUUAAACACAAGUUUUAAGUUUGAAAGAUGCAAUUGCAUCACUCAAAGAUGAUCCCGCGUUGUAUUAGGUAGUUGGUGAGGUAAAGGCUCACCAAGGCGAUGAUACGUAGCCGACCUGAGAGGGGGAUCGGCCACAUUGGGACUGAGAAACGGCCCAAACUGCUACGGGGAGCAGCAGUAGGGAAUCUUCGGCAAUGGACGAAAGUCUGACCGAGCAACGCCGCGUGAGUGAAGAAGGUUUUCGGAUCGUAAAACUCUGUUGGUAGGGAAGAACGUUGGUGAGAGUGGAAAGCUCAUCAAGUGACGGUAACUACCCAGAAAGGGACGGCUAACUACGUG